UUUUUUCUAUUGUUUUUUGAAUAUUUUAUUGAUUUCCUCUCUGAUCUUUAUGAUUUCCUUCCUUCUGCUGACUUUAGGUUUUGUUUGUUGUUCUUUUUCUCAUUUUUAGGUAGUAGGUUAAGUUGUUGAUUUGAGAUUUUUCUUCUUUUCUGAGGAAGGCCUGUAUCAUUAUGAACUUCCCUCUAAAUACUGCUUUUGCAGCAUCCCACAGAUUUUGAAUGGUUGUCUUGUCAUUUUCAUUUGUCUCGAGGUAUUUUUUAAUUUCCAUUUUGAUUUCCUAGUUGACCCAUUUGUUUUUAGUAGCAUGUUGUUUAGUCUCUAUGUAGUCAGUUUUUUCUCGUUUCUUUUCCUAUGGUUGAUUUCUGGUUUCAUGCCAUUGUGGGAAGAUACUUGAAAUAAUUUCUGUACUCUUAAAUUCACUGAGGUUAGUUUUGUGCCCUAGUAUGUGGUCAAUCCUUCAGAAUAUUCCAUGUGCAAUUGAAAUGAAUGUAUAUUCUGAUUUUUUGGGAUGUAAUGUCAAUUAAGUCUAACUUUUCUAUUGUGUCAUUUAGGAUCUCUGUUGCCUUAUUGAUUUUCUGUCUAGAGGAUCUAUCUAUUGAUAUGAGUGGGGCAUUAAAAGUCUCCUCCUAUUAUUGUAUUCCCAUCAAUUUCUCCUUUUCUGUCUAUUAGUAUUUGUUGUAGAUAUCUGCAUUCUCCUAUAUUAGGGGCAUAUUCUAUUUUGGCUGGUAUGAAUAUUGCAACUCUUGCUUUCCUGUCUUUUCCAUGUAAGUUAUUUUUAAGGAAAAAAUAAGAGGAAGUUCCUAUUGUGUCUCAGCAGGUUAAGAACCCAACUAGUCUCCUUGAGGAUAUGGGCUUGCUCCCUGGCUUGGCUUGGUGGGUUAAGGAUAUGUCAUCGCUGUGAGUUGUGGUGUAAGUCGCAGAUGUGUCUCGGAUCUGUUCUUGCUGUGGCUGUGGUGUAGGCUGGCAUCUGCAGUUCUGACUCAGCCCCUAUCCUGUGAACUUCCAUAUGCUGUGUGCACAGACCUUAAAAUCAAAGAAAAAAAAAAAAAAAAGAGAGAAAGGUCCUGGGUUCUUGUAACAUGGGCAAAUGCCAUGUAACAUGUGGAUGCAUUAG
This 1114-nucleotide long non-coding RNA is filed under the name Sus scrofa (pig). RNAcentral's name for it is "lncRNA (ENSSSCG00050031068.1)". The record is from RNAcentral. Lineage: Eukaryota; Metazoa; Chordata; Mammalia; Artiodactyla; Suidae.